GACGAACGCUGGCGGCGUGCUUAACACAUGCAAGUCACGGGGGCUCGCAAGAGCAACCGGCGAACGGGUGCGUAACACGUGAGCAACCUGCCGAUCUGAGGGGGAGUAGCCGGCCCAACGGCCGGGUAAUACCGCAUACGUUCUCGAGGGGGAGUCCUCUUGAGAAGAAACCUCCGGGGCAGAUCGAGGGGCUCGCGGCCUAUCAGCUAGUUGGUGAGGUAACGGCUCACCAAGGCGACGACGGGUAGCUGGUCUGAGAGGAUGGCCAGCCACAUUGGGACUGAGAGACGGCCCAGACUCCUACGGGAGGCAGCAGUGGGGAAUCUUGCGCAAUGGCCGAAAGGCUGACGCAGCGACGCCGCGUGUGGGAUGAAGCAUUUCGGUGUGUAAACCACUGUUGCCCGGGACGAACAGCUCUUUUCGAGAGCCUGACGGUACCGGGUGAGGAAGCACCGGCUAACUCCGUGCCAGCAGCCGCGGUAA
RNAcentral lists this ribosomal RNA (483 nucleotides) under uncultured bacterium. RNAcentral describes it as "bacterial SSU rRNA". It matches the Rfam family "Bacterial small subunit ribosomal RNA", at positions 28 to 523 of the family's 1533-position model. The record is from RNAcentral.